This 63-nucleotide transfer RNA is filed under the name Nepa hoffmanni. RNAcentral describes it as "tRNA-His". Lineage: Eukaryota; Metazoa; Arthropoda; Insecta; Hemiptera; Nepidae. The record is from RNAcentral.
GCUUAAGUAGUUUAAUUAAGAAUUGCAAUUUGUGGUAUUGCAGGUAUGUUUUUAUCUUAGGUU